CUCCCUGGGGGAGGUGACUGAGCUCAUGGGUUAUACUUAGAGUCACUUGAGAGCCCCUGGGUGUGGCCAUGGGGAAGAGGCCAUGGCUUCCCUGUCCUGUCCACUCUGUAGUCCCAGACCUCUCCACCUGAGCCUCAUAUGAAGCAUAAGGCAGAUUUGAGGCUCUUCCCUGGGCCCUGGCAACCCAGCAUCCUGCCACGGAGUAAGCUGUAGCCCUACUGUCUGCCACACUUCACUCGUCUCUUUCUUCUAGAACUUUCCAAUCUAUUCCUUCUCUCCGAAAGUAGCAGGCUGGGGAUGGUAGCACAGGCCUUUAAGCCUAGCACUCAGGAGGCAGAGGCAGGAUCGCUAUGAAUUUGAGGCCAGCCUGGUCUAUAUUGAGUUCUGGGCCAGCCAGGGCAGCACAGUAAGGCCCCUGUCUUUAAAAAAAACUGGGGUGGGGGCAAGAAAGAAAGAACGAAAGAAAAGGAAGGAAGGAAGGAAGGGAGGGAAACUUGUUUUCUUUUGUUUCUUUAUCAGUGCUUUGCUGUGUGUUUUGGGUUGCUCAGUUUCCCUCUCUGGGCCUCAUCUGUCCAUAAAGGAUACAUCUGUGGUAGUCUCUGCUUUAGACCUGAGCUGCACCUCAGAAGGAGGGAUAGCAACCCUAUUGGUGACUC
RNAcentral lists this long non-coding RNA (656 nucleotides) under Rattus norvegicus (Norway rat). RNAcentral describes it as "long non-coding RNA NONRATT022717". Lineage: Eukaryota; Metazoa; Chordata; Mammalia; Rodentia; Muridae. The record is from RNAcentral.